AGAGUUUGAUCCUGGCUCAGGACGAACGCUGGCGGCGUGCUUAACACAUGCAAGUCGAGCGGAAAGGCCCUUCGGGGUACUCGAGCGGCGAACGGGUGAGUAACACGUGAGCAACCUGCCCCUGGCUCUGGGAUAGCCUCCGGAAACGGGGAUUAAUACCGGAUAUGACCUGCGGCCGCAUGGCUGUGGGUGGAAAGUUU
RNAcentral lists this ribosomal RNA (200 nucleotides) under uncultured bacterium. RNAcentral describes it as "partial 16S ribosomal RNA". It matches the Rfam family "Bacterial small subunit ribosomal RNA", at positions 8 to 210 of the family's 1533-position model. The record is from RNAcentral.